Molecule: long non-coding RNA, 189 nt
Organism: Gymnogyps californianus (California condor)
Lineage: Eukaryota; Metazoa; Chordata; Aves; Accipitriformes; Cathartidae
Exons: 3
Source: RefSeq, a predicted model, not a curated record
GUAGAUCAUGAUAUUGGUGAGCAGAUCAUCCAGGUUAAACUUCCUGAAUAGGUACCUCAGCAAUUUUCAAAGGGGACUUCAUCUCGGAUUUCUGCCGCACGCUAAGAAUGAUCCUUUAUUACCAAAUGUAUCAGGCUUUGUAGCCUGUAUGUGAGCGUAGCCAGACUCCGACAAGAUCCUGUAGAGCCC